This 2087-nucleotide long non-coding RNA is filed under the name Oncorhynchus mykiss (rainbow trout). RNAcentral describes it as "lncRNA (ENSOMYG00000052141.1)". The record is from RNAcentral. Lineage: Eukaryota; Metazoa; Chordata; Actinopteri; Salmoniformes; Salmonidae.
CUUUGUUUUCUCCUUAUUGUUGAUUUCAGCGAUCCUAAGGUCCACAGCACCGUGGAAAGAGCUGUGAGGAGCAUUCUGGGCGAGCAGUCCAAUGAGCCCCGUAGCAACCUGCUCAGCCCAUCUCAGGUGGUGGUGGAGGAGCCUGGGCACCACCUCCACCACCACCUGAGAUGGGCUGAGCAGGUUGCUACGGGGCUCAUUGGACUGCUCGCCCAGAAUGCUCCUCACAGCUCUUUCCACGGUGCUGUGGACCUUAGGAUCGCUGAAAUCAACAAUAAGGAGAAAACAAAGCUAAACGAUGUGCAAUGUACUCACUUAGAACACUUUCUUAGUCUGUUUCUGCGUAGUUCCAGAUGUGUAGAUAAAUGGAUCAAGUCAUAUGCGGGGCAGUACAUGGAACUCACAUGUCAGCUGGCGAGGUGGGGUGCAUGGAGCGGCGGAGCUUGCAGAAAGCCUUGUGCUCUAUGUUCAUCAUUUUUAGGCAAGUGUUUACUUCCCAGGCCUGCAGUAUGAAACAGGAAGUCCCAUUAGUGUAAUUUCACAACAGAUCUAUCCUGCUGUGCUAACUCGUUGUUGAAAGGCUGGUAAAGAGCUCACUAACUUGUAGCAUGUCUCUAACUCUCAUUCUCUUACCAGCCGAGCGAGGUCGUUUCCCUCCUCCAGGGUUUCCUUCCACACCCUUCAAAUAAAACACAGAGCAUUUCAACUUUCCUGGCUUCUGAUUUUUCUGUUGUUUAUUUUACCCACAUCUCCUGGAGUGCUGCUGGUGGCAGGGAAUGGCAGUGAAGGUGAGUGCUGACGUGGUACUCACCACUCCCUAAGGGAUUUUUGCCCUGAGACACCAGCCAGUUGCUCAUGUGCUCCGUGGUGACAUGGGGAGGGACCUGGCCUUGACUCUGGAGCAGCAGAUAGUGGACCAUGAGCUUCUUCUGCAAGAUGAGGUAAGGUGUGAGACCGUGCCACGAAAUACCAUGUCAUUUACUUUCAGAAGGGCCUCUCGCAACAUUUCACAACUGCUCAUGCCUCACAAUUUGCAAGUGAUAUUAAGAACUCUUGUUUAUGUUUUUGUAUGGUGAAUCUUACCUGUUUAUUGUAAUAUGUUUCCUCCCAGCAGGCCUGCAGAGUCUGAAAAUUAAGGCUGCUCCUACAGAAUUCCUUUGAAGAUCAUGAAAAUAAUGAUGCUUUGUUAUGCACAUUAUGCACAGGCAUUUACAGUAUGCUAAAAUUAAUUUAUCCUAAGAUUACCUUUGUGGGACCAUAAGUGAACUCCGGAAUGCACCAAACCCUAUCCAUGGUAAGAUGGGGAAGAAAUGCAGCACUAUAGAUAUACGGGAUGCUCUAGAGAUAACAGGAAUGACUUACAGUCGCGAAUGAUCAAUGGCUGUGGAGUCCUCCAAUAUGCUGCACUUAGAAUUGAGUUGUAGGCGAUGUUUGGCGCAAAAUAGAAUGUUUACAUUCUAUUGCCAUGGAGAAAUGGAAUGUGUAGAACCUGUUUAAUUGAUUAUGCUUCUAUGUCUUUAUUUCGUUAAACAUUGAACUCUGUAUUAUGUCAUAAUGUGUAUAUGAGGACGUAGGAGCCCGUCCAGAUUCAUGACCCGAUUAUCCAGGUGCAUGUUGCUUAGACCUACUAAUCCAUCCUUGGUUUACAAGUUAAAUACAUUGUUUAUAUAUGCCUAUACAAAUCCAUCGACCACAUCCAUUUAAAGCAAUGAUUGUCAAUUGAAAUUGUGGUUGUUCUGUUCUCCUGUUGUGCGCCUUGAGUGUUUGUCCCCUUAAGCACAUUAUUCCAAUAUUUUUCCGAGCUCUGAAUUGACACAAUGAACACUUUUGAAAAGAUAGUCGGUUAAAAAUAAGAGUAUGAAUGACAAUAAACGUAUGACUUGGAUUGUAUGCGUAAUAGUGUAGUAAACAGUAUCGCUCAGCGCGGGAACUUUUGGUGUUAGGAAAGUUUCCGUUUUUAGCCUCCAUGACACGUAUCACUUCGUUGUCUUGUUGGUAAUAGUAAAAAUGCAUGACAGUCGGCAUUGUAAUGGUCUAACAGGUGUUUUUCAUUUUGCUUCUCACAUUAAACAGACAUUUGAGAACGG